RNAcentral lists this ribosomal RNA (522 nucleotides) under Salmonella enterica subsp. enterica serovar Oranienburg. Its description in RNAcentral is "bacterial LSU rRNA". It matches the Rfam family "Bacterial large subunit ribosomal RNA", at positions 1316 to 1821 of the family's 2925-position model. The record is from RNAcentral. Lineage: Bacteria; Pseudomonadati; Pseudomonadota; Gammaproteobacteria; Enterobacterales; Enterobacteriaceae.
AGCGGGUGAAAAGCCCGCUCGCCGGAAGACCAAGGGUUCCUGUCCAACGUUAAUCGGGGCAGGGUGAGUCGACCCCUAAGGCGAGGCCGAAAGGCGUAGUCGAUGGGAAACGGGUUAAUAUUCCCGUACUUGGUGUUACUGCGAAGGGGGGACGGAGAAGGCUAUGUUGGCCGGGCGACGGUUGUCCCGGUUUAAGCGUGUAGGUGUGUGUUCCAGGUAAAUCCGGUUCACUUUAACACUGAGGCGUGAUGACGAGGCACUACGGUGCUGAAGCAACAAAUGCCCUGCUUCCAGGAAAAGCCUCUAAGCAUCAGGUAACAUCAAAUCGUACCCCAAACCGACACAGGUGGUCAGGUAGAGAAUACCAAGGCGCUUGAGAGAACUCGGGUGAAGGAACUAGGCAAAAUGGUGCCGUAACUUCGGGAGAAGGCACGCUGACAUGUAGGUGAAGUGAUUUACUCAUGGAGCUGAAGUCAGUCGAAGAUACCAGCUGGCUGCAACUGUUUAUUAAAAACACAGCAC